Molecule: ribosomal RNA, 485 nt
Filed under: uncultured bacterium
Lineage: Bacteria
Description: bacterial SSU rRNA
Rfam family: Bacterial small subunit ribosomal RNA
Source: RNAcentral
AAUCAACGCUGGCGGCGUGCCUCAGACAUGCAAGUCGAACGAUUAAAGCUCUCUUCGGAGAGUGUAUAGAGUGGCGCACGGGUGAGUAACACGUAAGUAAUCUACCUUUGAGUGGGGAAUAACAGUCGGAAACGACUGCUAAUACCGCAUAAUGCAGCGGCAUCGCAAGAUGACAGUUGUUAAAGGAGCAAUCCGCUUAAAGAGGAGCUUGCGGCAGAUUAGCUUGUUGGUAAGGUAACGGCUUACCAAGGCUACGAUCUGUAUCCGGUCUAAGAGGACGGUCGGACACACUGACACUGAAUAACGGGUCAGACUCCUACGGGAGGCAGCAGUCGGGAAUUUUGGGCAAUGGGCGAAAGACCUGACCCAGCAACGCCGCGUGAAGGAUGAAGUAUUUCGGUAUGUAAACUUCGAAAGAAUGGGAAGAAUCAAUGACGGUACCAUUUAUAAGCUCCGGCUAACUACGUGCCAGCCGCCGCGGUAAU